UGGCGGCGUGGCUAAAGCAUGCAAGUCGAGCGAACCCGCAAGGGUGAGCGGCGGACGGGUUAGUAAUACGAUCGAACGUACCUCGAGGUGGGGGAUAGGCACGGGAAACUGUGCGUAAUACCCCAUGAUCUCUCCGGAGCAAAGGUUUACCGCCUUGAGAUCGGCGAUCGUCCUAUCAGCUAGUUGGCGGGGUAAAGGCCCACCAAGGCUAUGACGGGUAGCAGGUGUGAGAGCACGACCUGCAACAUCGGGACUGAGACACUGCCCGGACUCCUACGGGAGGCUGCAGCGACGAAUCUUCCGCAAUGGGCGCAAGCCUGACGGAGCGACGCCGCGUGUGGGAUGAAGCGCCUUCGGUGUGUAAACCACUGUCAGGAAAUAGAACCAAUGAUCAUUUCCAAAGGAAGAGACGGCUAACCCUGUGCCAGCAGCCGCGGUAAGACAGGGGUCUCGAGCGUUAAUCGGAAUUACUGGGCUUAAAGGGUGCGUAGGCCGGCCCGCAAGUGCUUUGUGAAAUCCCAUGGCUCAACCAUGGAACUGCUUGGCAUACUGCGGGUCUUGAGGAAGGUAGGGGUUGCCAGAACUGUAGGUGGAGCGGUGAAAUGCGUAGAUAUCUACAGGAAUGCCGAUGGUGAAGACGGGCAACUGGGCC
Molecule: ribosomal RNA, 652 nt
Filed under: uncultured soil bacterium
Lineage: Bacteria
Description: bacterial SSU rRNA
Rfam family: Bacterial small subunit ribosomal RNA
Source: RNAcentral